RNAcentral lists this ribosomal RNA (539 nucleotides) under uncultured bacterium. Its description in RNAcentral is "partial 16S ribosomal RNA". It matches the Rfam family "Bacterial small subunit ribosomal RNA", at positions 355 to 901 of the family's 1533-position model. The record is from RNAcentral.
UGGGGAAUAUUGGCACAAUGGGCGCAAGCCUGAUGCAGCAACGCCGCGUGAGGGAUGACGGCCUUCGGGCUUGUAAAACCUCUUUUAGUAGGGAAGAAGCGAAAGUGACGGUACCUGCAGAAAAAGCACCGGCUAACUACGUGCCAGCAGCCGCGGUAAUACGUAGGGUGCGAGCGUUGUCCGGAAUUAUUGGGCGUAAAGAGCUCGUAGGCGGUCUGUCGCGUCUGCUGUGAAAACCCGAGGCUCAACCUCGGGCCUGCAGUGGGUACGGGCAGACUAGAGUGCGGUAGGGGAGAAUGGAAUUCCUGGUGUAGCGGUGGAAUGCGCAGAUAUCAGGAGGAACACCGAUGGCGAAGGCAGUUCUCUGGGCCGUAACUGACGCUGAGGAGCGAAAGCGUGGGGAGCGAACAGGAUUAGAUACCCUGGUAGUCCACGCCGUAAACGUUGGGCGCUAGAUGUGGGGACCAUUCCACGGUUUCCGUGUCGCAGCUAACGCAUUAAGCGCCCCGCCUGGGGAGUACGGCCGCAAGGCUAAAACU